ACACCCUACCCAGCCCUCUCCACCCAGCUGCAGACCCUUCACUACCGAUGAAGACCCUCGCCACCCCGCUGCACUCUCUUCCAGCCCUUCAUCUUCAUCAUUGCGCUAUGAGAACCCUCGCACCCUCAACGCAAGCCUCCUCCUCAAAUUCGCAACCUCGCACCCUCUCUCGCAACUUUCCAUCGGCGCUACUCCGUUGGUGUGUCCUCCCUCAAUCGGCGUUGCCUAUCCCUAACUCGACGCUCAACCCUUGAGGUUUCUUUCGUUUCUUUAUUUAGACUCUGUGGUGGCAGCACCUCCACCAUGACCAUGAUCGAUGAGACCUAUGAGUUCUCGGCGCCGAGGUUCUUUGAUUUCAUCAAUGGGAAAACCGAGAAGCUAAGGACGAGCGCAGGGCUCAGCUAUGGUUCGAUACUGCACUCUCCUACGCAUCUUCACCAUUCAUUCCAAAAAUCAAGGUUGGUAGAUCUAUCACUGUGGAUACCUUCUGUGAUUUUAGUGAAGCUGAAAAAAUAGACACGACAUCCAAAAAUGUUGAGGAGAAUUUUCAGGAAACAAUUAAACAGCCACAGAGCAUGACUACUGAAAUAAAGGAAGAUGAUGCACCUUGCAGUGAAGUCAAAGAAGAAAACAACACAACUACUUCUCAUGUGGUUCCUGUUGAUACGGAAAGAAGUGAAGAUGUUUGCAAAGGAAAGAGCUCAUGCUUAGGGAUUUCACCAUCUGGAGAUGGGUCUGCUGAAGUAGCAAAAGAUGCUUGCACUCCCAAACCAACAUUGCAAAAAAGAUUGACAACCACCACCUCCAAGAAGCAAGAGACAGCUAAAAUGAUAGGCACCAGUAAAAAACUAACUGAAAAGCCUAGGAAGGGUGCUAUCCUUGCAAAAAAAAUCAAUGAUGCUGCUGAUAGGUAUUCGAGCUGAACUAAACUGAAUAAUUUACCAAGCUGCAACUUCAAUUACAAUAUUGUAUUGGUACUCUCUAAUCCUUUCCUUUCAAGUUGAUAUGUCAAAAUGCAGUUAACUAUUCCAAUGCUUAUGUGCUGCAAAAAGCAAUAUAACAUAUAAAAUCAAUCAUAUAAGGGUAGUUAUGGUAAGUUUUUUUUUCUUUUUUAAAUUAUUCUCAUGAUAAAAUUAUUGAUACAUUAUUCAACAUAGCAUAACUGAAUUGUUUGCUUUUAUAAUGCUCUUAGAUAUGAUCUAAUUGUCCUUCUAUUCAACUAGUGUAACUUUGGUUUCUAAGUCUAACCACAAGUUGGAUCUAAAUCUGAACUUUCCAUUUAUGACAAAGUCGAUGAAAGAAGAGGUAUGGUCUACUCUUGCUUGCCAUAAAUUUCCCAUAUCUUUAGUUACAUACAUGGAAUACUGCCUUAUUGAACUUUUCUAAAUCCUGAAAGAGCAAAGAGAGAAUUUCUACAUUCAAGUUGUUGCUUUUGCUACACGUGAGAAUGCAAAGUCUUUGAACUGCAACAUGCAGUCUCUUUGGCAUUGACAAGUAGGUAAUUAAAUGAGUUGACCCUUGUAUUUUUUCUAAUUUGUCCUAUUAAUUACUUGAACCUCUGAUUUGAAACAAGUUUUGUAGAGAAAGUUGUGCCUUCUGGAAGCAGUGCUAUUCACUGUUGUGACAGCACCCUUUUCUUAAAACAAAACCAUAUUUCGAGAGACAUAACUUUUUCUAGAGAAGUAAAAAUGCUCUGGAACUUGAAUUGGGUAAAAGAUGGGUAAGUCUAGUUCAACCACACAAAAAUUUAGGUGAAUCCAACCAAAGAUGAAUUUUAUAUGAUUUUUCUGAAUUGGUUACUGCUUGCUGUUUUUUUGAAGUGUACCAAAUCAGUAGCCGAUUUUUAAAAUAUUUGUUCCAAUUUAUUUUUGUUCAUGAAUGUCAAUCAUAAUUGUUUUGUAUAAUUCAGGUUGAGACAUAAUGUUUUCUUAUUUUAUUUUUCUGCUGAGUAGGCAUUACUCUUUAUGUAAAUCUCUACCACUAUCACCAUCCACAAGAUCUUGGGUUGAACCGCCAUGUAGUGAAUGAAUUUGCAGACUAUGCAGAAUUCCGUUUCUAAGACAUUUAGGACAGAGUGAAGAACUGGAUAACAUUCGAUGAACCAAGAGUGGUAGCUGCUCUUGGUGCUAUGACAAUGGUUUCUUUGCCCCUAGAAGGUGCUCAAAGGAAUAUAGGAUUAGCUCACAAAAUGGAUCACAAAAUGCAUCUGGAAUGUUAAAUUGAUGGGUUGAAGUAUAUAGGAUUAGAUAAAUUCAGUCUUGGGGUUAUAUGCAUAAUAAGCCACUGCUUGUCUGCUUAUUCAGUCUUGGGGUUAUAUGCAUAAUAGGCCACUGCUUGUCUGCUUAUUCAAGAAAAUAGUGUAUUAGAAAGCUCACAUUGGAUUAAGGAACUGAACUUAUUUGUGGAAUAGUGUCUAUAGAAUAUUGGUGUGCA
Long non-coding RNA from Arachis duranensis, 2433 nucleotides. RefSeq lists it as uncharacterized. The transcript has 6 exons. The record is from RefSeq and is a predicted model, not a curated record. Lineage: Eukaryota; Viridiplantae; Streptophyta; Magnoliopsida; Fabales; Fabaceae.